UUUUCGCCAUCUUUAUUAUGUAACUGCACCAAAGCAUUGUAAUAAUUAGGAUUUUAUUUUCUGCCAUUUAUUUUCUGCCAUUUUAUUUUUCUGCCAUUUAUUUUUCUGCCAUUUAAAUUCCUGCCAUUGAUCAUAUAUUAACUGCGUGGUUUAGUAAUGUAGGGCAUGAAAACCUACUAAAUUAAUUAUUUAAUAUUUUUUCUAUAACCUUU
Molecule: long non-coding RNA, 212 nt
Filed under: Lathyrus oleraceus (garden pea)
Lineage: Eukaryota; Viridiplantae; Streptophyta; Magnoliopsida; Fabales; Fabaceae
Description: Pisum sativum (pea) long non-coding RNA (PSAT_LNC028000)
Source: RNAcentral